UCGCUUUGGCAGCACAUAUACUAAAAUUGGAACCAUACAAAGAAGAUUAGCAUGGCCCCGGCACAAGGAUGACACGCAAAAAGAAUAGUCCUUCCCCCCUCUU
This is a small nuclear RNA of Suncus etruscus (white-toothed pygmy shrew), 103 nucleotides long. The record is from RefSeq and is a predicted model, not a curated record. Lineage: Eukaryota; Metazoa; Chordata; Mammalia; Eulipotyphla; Soricidae.